RNAcentral lists this ribosomal RNA (468 nucleotides) under uncultured bacterium. RNAcentral's name for it is "partial 16S ribosomal RNA". It matches the Rfam family "Bacterial small subunit ribosomal RNA", at positions 28 to 507 of the family's 1533-position model. The record is from RNAcentral.
GACGAACGCUGGCGGCGUGCUUAACACAUGCAAGUCGAACGGAAAGGCCCUGCUUUUGUGGGGUGCUCGAGUGGCGAACGGGUGAGUAACACGUGAGUAACCUGCCCUUGACUUUGGGAUAACUUCAGGAAACUGGGGCUAAUACCGGAUAGGAGCUCCUGCUGCAUGGUGGGGGUUGGAAAGUUUCGGCGGUUGGGGCUGGACUCGCGGCUUAUCAGCUUGUUGGUGGGGUAGUGGCUUACCAAGUCUUUGACGGGUAGCCGGCAUGAGAGGGGGACCGGCCACAUUGGGACUGAGAGACGGCCCAGACUGCUACGGGAGGCAGCAGGGGGGAAUAUUGCACAAUUGGCGGAAGCCUGAUGCAGCAACGCCGCGUGCGGGAUGACGGCCUUCGGGUUGUAAACCGCUUUCGCCUGUGACGAAGCGUGAGUGACGGUAAUGGGUAAAGAAGCACCGGCUAACUACGUG